UAGAACUCGGUUUGGGCUUUUGAAAUUGCUGAUCCCAAGUGUAUUUUCUCCACAAAAAUCACCCAACCCUGUUAAUGUUAAAACUCAUGCCCUUACCCAGCCCAAACCCGAUCUCAUCUAUCACCCACCCAUUUAAAACCCCAAUUAUAACCCAAAGAGAAAAACCUAACCCUAAUUAAUAAGAACCGAACGGCGCCUUCUCUUUUCUUCCUCUUCAGCCGCAUCAAACAGCCCCAAACUCCCUUGAAAUUUAGGCGAGUGCAACCAAACUCACCUCACGCUCUCCCCCAUUCUCUCCUCUUGCCACAUAGUGUAACGGUCUUUGACAAUAAGAAGCUUCCUUCCAGAUCUUUGUGUGUCUUUAGCCUCUCGAUCGAUUUGCUGGAUGAAUGGGAGCCGUGGAUGGAUGAAAAUCAAUUCAUGCCCUCCAUUUGUCCCAAAAAUCGUUCACAGAAAGAGAUUGAAAAGGAAUUUUGGAUUUUUGGGCAGAAGGGUCGAGAAAUUUGGGAGUUUAUAUAAGGUGAGGAUUUUCUUGUGUGAGGGGGUCCUAGAGAUAGAUUUUCAGAGAAAAUUUUGAGAGGUAAAAGUUCUAGGGCUAGGUCGAGUUUCAGAUUUUUCCUUCGGAAUUUCUAGUCUAUCUCUUGAAAAAUAUAGAAAUCUCUUCAGUUUUUCUUUUAUUUGGAUAUCAGAAAAAAUAUAAUAAAAAAGGGUCUGUUUCCUCUGUUUCCAUUUCGAAAUUUUGGUUGAAAAAUGGAGUUCAACUGAGGUACUGGGAGUUUGAUUGACUUGAAUUGUCGUUCGAGUCCUACUACCGGUUCGCGUUUCUUAGUUUGAAUUGUUGUUAUUUUCUUGCUGGAAUUUUGGAUUCAAAGCUUUCUAGUCGACCUCACUUCUAUUAUCAAAAGAAAGGUUCAAUUUCAGGUUCAUCUCUUUACUCCCUCUUAACUUGUUCUGGCAUUGAUCGAAAUGUGUUGAUAGUUGAGAUUUUAUUAGAUUGGGAAUGUUUAUGAGCUGGUUUAUGUGAAACCAGCCUGUGAUGCAUUAUUGUCAUGAACGCUACUGUUUUCAUUGGUUUUGGCAUACCUUCUCUACUAUAUUGGUUCUGUUUACUAUUGAUUCUUUCAUUGAAGUAGUUUAAUUAAUUUGAGUCGUAAAUCCGUAGUGCAUCAUUGUGAUAGGAUUUGAAAGAAAUAGAAUUAAAGUCUCGUCGUCACUAUUCUAAUUUAUCGCCUUAAUUAAGUCCUUCGGCGAAAAUGGACAGCUUCGAGUUUUUGUUAGGAUUCAGUUCGUUAUUUGAAGUCUUCUAUUUUGAAAUUAACUUCUGGAUCUUUAACUCGAGUGAAUCAGCAUUUGAUGGCUAAAAUGUCGAAACAGUACUACUUGCCUUCAAUUUUUUGUUUUAACAUGGAACUUGUGUGAGAAAUGUUGUUUAUAUCUCAUGAGAUCUUUGUUUUCAUUUUUAUUUUUGGCAAAUCACUUAUUUAGCUGAAAUCCCCUGAUGCGGUUAACUGAGUGAAACAUAUUUCAUAUUUAUUGAUUCAAAACUAACUUUCAUAGUUUCUUGGAGUGUUGGUUCUUUGUAGUGUCCCGUAUGUUAAGUGAGUAAAAUAACUUGAGAGUGAGACUUAUCAUGAGAUUUUCAAUCCUAACUGUGUAAUGAUUGAAAGUUUGCUUUGUAAAUGAGUGUUAUGUGGAAUUAAAAUGAAAUGAGGAGAUCUGGUUAGUUUAAAAUUAAGUCACCAUGUAGUAGUUAUGUUACUCCUAGUAGAAUAGGAAGUAUUUUCAGUCAUAGUGAUUCUGGAGGAGCUGUACGUGUGAGCCAAAGUGGUAUGUAUUGGUUUUGGUUGUGAGUUUGAAGCUAUAGUUCUUAGUAUCUAUGAUUCUUUUACCAAGUCCUUAUUGUGGGGCAAUUAAGUGUAUGAAAGUUUAAAUGUCCUAUAUUUUGUUCUUCAUGUAAUUUUCUAUGUGAAAGAGGUGGAGUGUAUACUACUGCUGUCAUUGUUGGCUAAGAUUUAGGUUUGAUGAUUAUUGAGUAAUGUGAAUUGAGCAAGUCUCGUUAUUAGGUUAAUAUUUUAAAACAUGUUUGGAUCACUCUGUUAAUUGGAAAAAAUGCAUUUUUUAGGGACAAAAUCCUUUAGAAUGGUUUUAAGGUUUUAGAAGAUUAGAUAAAGCACUUGGUUAGAUAAGUAUUGAUUUAGUCUUGGUAGCAAUAUUUGAUUAAUUUGGGAUCUUAAGUGGCUAUUUUCUAGUUUUGAUAUUGGAUAAGUAUUGAUUUAGUGUCUAAAUGACAUAUGCUCAAAUGCUUUCAUGUUAAUCUUGAGUUUUGAGCUUCAUAGCAGUAUCAUGUUUGAUCUUCAUGUUAUUAUUUCCCUUUCUUCUUCAACGUGUCUUGUAUGUUUGCUGAUGAAAUUUCUAUUAUUUGGUCUGCCUUUGUCUUGGACGAUGAAAUAUUGGGGAAGUAGGAAAUGAGAAUUUAGAUCUUAAAUUUUCCAUUGCUUCUGUUUAUUGCUUUAUUACUCGUUAGGAUCAUGUUCUAGGCCGACCACACUUGGGUAUGCAAACUUUAGGUUUGUUUUUUCCUUAUUUUUGAGGCAAGAGUUUGUUCAUUGUUGGUUAUUAUUAUUCCAUGUUCCAUGUUAAUAAUAAAUCGUCAUAGCUACGGGUACGUUCCCGUGAUAUAGUUGUGACAUAUAAUUUCCAAAUUCGGGUGUACAUUUCAUGUGACCCGACUUCAAUAUCCAAUAAUGUUAAAUAAAUUAAACAUUAUCGUGAACCGCGGGUCCAUUUUAUGUAGCGUGAUUUAUGAUGUGUUUUCCAAAAAAACAAGUGUAUGAUAGUCACGAAUUAUCUUUAAAACAUUAAAAGUGGUUAGAAAGUUAAAAAUGCAUGUAGAUUUUAGAUGUGUAAUUAACCAGAUAAUUAGGCCAAUACAGUUAAGCGACCGUGCUAAAACCACGGAACCCAAGAAUGCCUAACACCUUCUCCCGAGUUAACAGAAUUCCUUACCCGAAUUUCUAUGUUUCGCGGACUGUAAAACCGAGUCAAACUUCCUCGAUUCAGGAUUUUAAAUCGGUGACAUGGGAUACCAUAAAUUAUCCUAAGUGAUGACUCUGAUUUGAUCUAAAUAAUUCCGUUUCGCUUGUCACUUAAAUUGAAAAAACUCCCCUAUGCCCUUUCGGGGGUAGAAAAAGGAGGUGUGACACCUGCAACUAGCAAGCAUCAAGGUUCAAAUCAAAAGUCUGCAUGAAGAACCAUUCAAGACUCAAGAUCAAGAUUCAGUAGACUUAUAAAUAGGAAUCUUGUAACUCAUAACUGAUAGGCUUGCUUAGUUCUUUUAGAUUUUGAUUUGAUGUAAUAAUAGGACCGCGGACCGGAACCUCGGCGGAACGGUAUCUCAUUCGAAUCUUUCAUCCUCUCUACACACUCUGUCGCUCUUCCUACUUCUGAACUACACCUAAUUCCUUUAUAGCCAAGGAUAUGUAGGCAGCUCAGAUACCAGGGCUCGGUCAUAAUCUUUUACCCAUAUUUCUUUUCUUUUGAAUAAGUGUCAGGUCAGAAAUCAAUGACGUUGCUUACUUGUUUCUUUGCUAAAAAAUACUUCACGUUUCCAAGCAAAGAGGGGCAGUUGUAAGCACGUAAUUUUUGACCCGCAUAUUAGAAUUACCUUUAAUAGUCCUAGUAUUUUUAGAAUAUUUAUUUGAGUUUAUUUCUAUAGGAUUUCACUUUAUUAUUAAUCUUAAUUCUAUUUUUAAAGCACAAAAAUUGAAAAAUACAAAAAUAGUUUUAUUUUUUCUAUUUAAUUCAGGUAUUAUGUAUUUUUGGAAAGAUAUUAUUUUUAACCCAUUUUUAUUUUAGUAUAAUCCUUGAAAAAUACCAAAAAAUAGUUUCAUGUUAUAAUAUAGUUGUUUUAAUUAAUUAGGAUUGAUUUUAAAUUUUUAUGGUAUGAUAUUUCAGGAAAAGAAAUUAAUAUUUUAGCUUUGUAGAAUUAAAGGGCCACUUUUAAAGGCAAAUUUGGCCCAAACUUGAGCCCAAAUUUAGCAGCCCACUCCUCCCUUCAGCCCAUUUAUCCAUUCCCUAACUCACAACACUUUUAUAAUCCAAAUUAAACCUAAAUUCCUAGACCACCUAAUUCUAGAGUCAACCGUAACACACAAAAGAAAAGAACGGCCUCCUCUUCAAACUCGAUCUCUCUCAAUCUUUGAGAGUUGUGGGCGACACAUAGAAGAACAAAACAAAAACGGCAAACACUCACAACCUAGCGUCCCCCCCCCCCCCCUUCUGAUAUCUUCUUUAUUCUCAAAAUCAAAGAAACACACACGCACGCACAAGAUCUGGACAAAAAGGAAACAAAGAGGGAAAUAUGGGUUCGGCUAAUAUAGUGAUGACAUAAACAUAGGCCUUUUUUGUUGUUACUUGGCGGAAUUAGGAAAGUUGGAAAGCAGAUCCAUUUAGGGGAGGAACGGAUGGGACAGUAGCGUAAAAAACGGAGGAAAAACGAGCACAAAGCUUUUCAUAAGAAAGAUCAUUGUUGAGGUUUUCCCAUCCGAGGUCUUGUUCACCUUUUUGGUCCGCUGUUCAGGUGUAGAUUUGAAGUGCUAUUGUCGGAUUGAACAAUAUUGUUGCUUGCAGGGAGAUCUUUCAUCAAUUAAAUUUUGAUCACUGUUUGGGUUCCACUUGAGGUCAACUCCUUACUUUGUUCUUUAAUCUCCUAUACGUGUGAUCCAUGAUUGCUUGAGCUUCAUGUUUUAAUUGUUACUGCAUGACUGAUUUUUCAUGUUUUGUUUCAAGUCCCUUUGAGUUGAAUUUUUAAGUAUAAAUAUUGUUGAAUUCUUGUAUCAUUUGAUAGAAGGGUUCGGGCUUAAACGUAAAUGACAAUUGAGAUUGAAAAUGUUUUAUUACUUUUAUUUAUCGCUUAUCGCUAAUAGCAUUCUUAGGGUGACCACGCCAAGGUAGGCAAACUUUAGGUUUUUUUUCUUUUCUUUUAUUCGAGGUGAGUGGUCGUUCCAUUUAGUACAUAUUCAGGGGAAUGCCCCGUAGACUUUGUAUAUUUUUUAUUCGGGGUAUGCCCCGUAGUAUCAUGUAUUUGGAGGCCGCAACGAACCUCGUGGAAAAGUAUAGUAUAUAUUAGUAUUUAGGAC
This 5138-nucleotide long non-coding RNA is filed under the name Nicotiana tabacum (common tobacco). RNAcentral describes it as "long non-coding RNA (NTAB_LNC004903)". The record is from RNAcentral. Lineage: Eukaryota; Viridiplantae; Streptophyta; Magnoliopsida; Solanales; Solanaceae.